UUUCUCUAACAAAUGCUCUCCCUUCUCUCUAGAAAAUUCUGGUUCCUUCUUCUCCGAUGAAGUUCAUCGCCUCUCCGGCCAUACUCCUCCCUCACUUCUCUUGAUCUCUAGUCAACAUGGAACCUUCAUCUCGUUGUUUCUCUCUAAAUUUUGAAGCCCAGAAGCUUCCUCCAUGAAAGAUGGUCGCUGAAGCUUUGCCUGGGUCUGUUGUCG
RNAcentral lists this long non-coding RNA (213 nucleotides) under Nicotiana benthamiana. RNAcentral describes it as "long non-coding RNA (NBEN_LNC030863)". The record is from RNAcentral. Lineage: Eukaryota; Viridiplantae; Streptophyta; Magnoliopsida; Solanales; Solanaceae.